AGAGUUUGAUCAUGGCUCAGGGCUAACGCUGGCGGCGUGUCUUAGCCAUGCAAGUCGAGCGGGCCUGUGGGUUUACCUACAGGUCAGCGGCGGACGGCGGAGUAACACGUAGCUAACCUACCCCCUGGACGGGGAUAACCACUCGAAAGGGUGGCUAAUACCCGAUGGAGUCCCUAUCUGAGAUGGUAGGGAUGAAAGGUGGGCCUCUGCGGAAGCAAGCUCAUGCCGGGGGAGGGGGCUGCGGCCUAUCAGGUAGUUGGUGGGGUAAUGGCCCACCAAGCCUAUGACGGGUAGCCGGCCUGAGAGGGUGACCGGCCCGAGGGGCACUGAGACACGGGCCCCACUCCUACGGGAGGCAGCAGGCUAGAAAAUUGGGCAAUGGGGGAAACCCUGACCCAGUGACGCCGCGUGCAGGAAGAAGCCCUUCGGGGUGUAAACUGCUGUCGUGCGGGGCGAAGGGUCCAUAGGCGAAUAGCUUAUGGGCUUGACGGUACCGCAGGAGGAAGCCCAGGCUAACCUCGUGCCAGCAGCCGCGGUAAUACGGGGUGGGCGAGCGUUGCCCGGAAUUACUGGGUUUAAAGGGGGUGUAGGCGGUCCGGAGAGUCAGGUGUGUAAUCCAACCGCUCAACGGUUGGGCUGCACCUGAUACUUCCGGGCUAGAGGGCGGUAGAGGAGAGCGGAACUCCCGGUGUAGCGGUGAAAUGCGUAGAUAUCGGGAGGAACGCCGGUGGCGAAGGCGGCUCUCUGGGCCGUUCCUGACGCUGAGGCCCGAAAGCUGGGGGAGCGAAAGGGAUUAGAUACCCCUGUAGUCCCAGCCGUAAACGAUGGGCACUAGGUGUUCCUCCGAAGGGGGGAGUGCCGACGGGAAACCAUUAAGUGCCCCACCUGGGGAGUACGCCCGCAAGGGUGAAACUCAAAGGAAUUGACGG
This 929-nucleotide ribosomal RNA is filed under the name uncultured bacterium. RNAcentral's name for it is "bacterial SSU rRNA". It matches the Rfam family "Bacterial small subunit ribosomal RNA", at positions 8 to 916 of the family's 1533-position model. The record is from RNAcentral.